GAUGAAGAACGUAGCGAAAUGCGAUACGUAGUGUGAAUUGCAGAAUUCCGUGAACCAUCAAAUCUUUGAACGCAUAUUGCGCUCGAGGCUACGGCCGAGAGCAUGUCUGCCUCAGCGUCGGUAUUACCCCUCGCUUCUCAACCCCUGGUUGAUGCCUGCCUGCCUUUGCAGUUGGCUAGAAGCGGAUCUGGCUUUCCCAAUUGCCUUUGGUAGUUGGGUCAGCUGAAGCACAGAGGCUUGAGCAAGGACCCUUAUUGGGCUUCAACUGGAUAGGUAGAACUGGUCUUAGGACCAACUACACGAAGUUGUUGCUUGAGGUCUUUGUCUGGAGGCCAGCAGGAAAGCUUUAUACCUUCGACCUGAGCUCAGGCAAGAUUACCCGCUGAACUUAAGCAUAUCAAUAAGCGGAGGA
This 412-nucleotide unclassified non-coding RNA is filed under the name soil metagenome. RNAcentral's name for it is "partial contains 5.8S ribosomal RNA, internal transcribed spacer 2, and large subunit ribosomal RNA". The stretch from base 1 to 120 matches the Rfam family "5.8S ribosomal RNA", at positions 35 to 154 of the family's 154-position model. The record is from RNAcentral.